Molecule: ribosomal RNA, 586 nt
Filed under: Cystofilobasidium capitatum
Lineage: Eukaryota; Fungi; Basidiomycota; Tremellomycetes; Cystofilobasidiales; Cystofilobasidiaceae
Description: partial large subunit ribosomal RNA
Rfam family: Eukaryotic large subunit ribosomal RNA
Source: RNAcentral
CUGGCAUAUCAAUAAGUGGAGGAAAAGAAACUAACAAGGAUUCCCCUAGUAACGGCGAGUGAAGCGGGAAGAGCUCAAAUUUAAAAUCUGGCAGUCUACGAUUGUCCGAAUUGUAAUCUCGAGAAGUGUUUUCCGCGUUGGCCUGUGCACAAGUCCCUUGGAACAGGGCGUCAUAGAGGGUGAGAAUCCCGUCCUUGGCACAGAUACCCAAUGCUUUGUGAUACACUCUCAAUGAGUCGAGUUGUUUGGGAAUGCAGCUCAAAAUGGGAGGUAAAUUCCUUCUAAAGCUAAAUACUGGCGAGAGACCGAUAGCGAACAAGUACCGUGAGGGAAAGAUGAAAAGCACUUUGGAAAGAGAGUCAAACAGUACGUGAAAUUGUUGAAAGGGAAACGAUUGAAGUCAGUCGUGCCUGCCUAGAUUCAGCCUUCUGGUGUAUUUCUAGGUCGGCAGGUCAGCAUCAGUUUGGGAGGGUUAACAAGGGGAUUAGGAAUGUGGCAACCUCGGUUGUGUUAUAGCCUAGUUUCGUAUUGAUCUUGCUGGACUGAGGAACGCAGUGCGCCCGCAAGGGUAGGUCUUCGGACACUU